RNAcentral lists this ribosomal RNA (253 nucleotides) under uncultured bacterium. RNAcentral describes it as "partial 16S ribosomal RNA". It matches the Rfam family "Bacterial small subunit ribosomal RNA", at positions 524 to 776 of the family's 1533-position model. The record is from RNAcentral.
UACGGAGGGGGCUAGCGUUGUUCGGAAUUACUGGGCGUAAAGCGCGCGUAGGCGGCUUUGUAAGUCAGAGGUGAAAUCUCGGGGCUCAACUCCGGAACUGCCUUUGAAACUGCAUCGCUUGAAUCCGGGAGAGGUGAGUGGAAUUCCGAGUGUAGAGGUGAAAUUCGUAGAUAUUCGGAAGAACACCAGUGGCGAAGGCGGCUCACUGGACCGGCAUUGACGCUGAGGUGCGAAAGCGUGGGGAGCAAACAGG